Molecule: microRNA precursor, 187 nt
Filed under: Oryza brachyantha (malo sina)
Lineage: Eukaryota; Viridiplantae; Streptophyta; Magnoliopsida; Poales; Poaceae
Description: MIR812 microRNA precursor family
Rfam family: MIR812 microRNA precursor family
Source: Rfam by way of RNAcentral
AAUAAACCAAAUUUUCACUUUUUACCUAUAAUUUUUGACUCUUCUUUUUAUUCAAAUUUUUUUUGCGAUUGAUAUUUUUUUAUUAGAUGAUAAAUUAUGAAUAGUACUUUACGUGGACUAAUUUUUUUCAAAUUUUCUGAAAAUUUUCAAAUAAGACGUAUGGUCAAACGUUAGAUACGGAAACCGA